UCGCGCGUCAUUGCUUCCAUAGAGUUAGUAGAACAACUCUAGAGGAAAAGCUGGGCCGGAAAAGUGGGAACCUCUAGGGCGCCGCCCUGUUGCUACUGGUCAAUGUGGCCAGCGCAAUUACUAUUGAAAAAGCUGAGAACAAGUACAGUUCACCUUAUGCUUUGUCAUCUAAAAACGCAUACCUGAUGGCUUUAUGAAGGCGGUACGUUAAUAUUAAGUUUACAGAAAGCGAUCGCUAAGUCCGUGACUUAUGAAAAUCACGAUGUACGCAUUCAUGCAAUAAAAGAUGACGCGAAUUUCGGUUUCGAAUCUGUUUUUUGGAUGCGUAGUAGUUUCGUUUGACAUGCGAUCGCGCGUCGACAUCGGACGCUAUGGCACACUCGUGCCUUAUGUGCCACCGAAGCCCCGAAGUGGUCUGGCAUAUACCUUCACAUGUAAGUAAACGAAUGUAUCUCCUUGUUGAGAAUAUCACGCGAGUAGGCAGCUCUUGUGGUACAUCACAAUCGUUUGAGAAGCGUCACAGUAGAGCAUUUUUCUGCAUCCGGAGCGGUGUUUUUAUUUGCAGGUUUCCCUUCAGUAGGAAAUUGCUGGACAGGCGGACCAGCGCACCGGAAUUGUACUGGCGAAGCCACAAGCAACUCAAAGAGUCUGUUUAAUUGUUGCACUUUGAACAAUCAUGCUUCUACAAAGGCCACAGCAGAUCAACAGCCUGACGCCGAGUAUUUCUGUGCCACGAAGUAAUCAAGAGGCGAGUGCCUAAUGCGGACGAAAUCGAGUGCAUCGAGACUUAGAACGACAGAAAGCUGAGCUAGUUGGUAAGGAUUCAUUAUGCAAAACAGAGGUGAGGCGUGCAGACAGGACACAAGAGUAGAGAAGUGGGCGGCGCUCGUGUUGUUUACUAAAUACUCUACUCUUGUGUCCUGUCUGCACGCCUCACCUCCGUUUUGCAUAACGAGUGCAUCAACCCACAUAUUAAUAGCGUAGGCAUUUUGUUAACUGUGCAAUAUUUUCAACACUUCCUUGCAUGCCAUUUCAUGUGGAAUAUCUUUUCUGGUCACAAAUAUGUGCAGCGAAUCUAUUUGCAUGAUCGACUCCGGGCCUGUUGGACCGUUCACUUGCACUUGAUGCUGAGUCUUUUACAUGUAUCCAUAAACUGCAGAUGUGCACAUCAGAUCCCUGCGAGCAUUUUCAAAAUUCAAUUAUUAUAGACAACAGGCACAUAUGCAAUACUGACAUAAUCUCAAAUACCACUAAGCAGCUGGGACACAUUUUUGUUGACCAUACUCGCAGGUAAAAUAAGUACAUCAUGUGGACAGCUCCAGCUCAUUUUCCUUAAGUCAGUGUAUACAAGGGUUAUGCAAAAAUAAUUUUUUUCUUGCGAACCGAUUAUUUUGCUGUAUAAGCAAGAGAACCCACCACGUUAGUGUAACGUAUCUUGUGCAUCACACUAAUAUGUGGUUUCAUUUACCAAGUGAGAUGAGUUACUUUUAUGGCUCAUUCAGUCAUAUCACACUGCAAGCUGCAUUCAUCAAUCUUCGAUUGGAUUUUGCAAAUGUUUAAUGAAACAUGUUUCCCUUUUAUGCAGAUAUGCAAUGGCAAGCCCUUCCAUGUGUUCCAAAAGUAAAAUUUAAGCUCUAAAUUAAAUAAGAUAUUUCUAGUCAGAAACAAGCAAAAAUGGUGACUGCAGAGUAUCAGAAGCCCAAGGUACAGAAAUGAUAGAAGUGUCGAAUGAUUUUAAGGAAAGAGUCGUAUUUGAAAAUGCAAGACUCUUUAGUGGAGGUCAAGCAAGUCAAUAUAGGUAGAAUACUCUGCAAAAUUAUGCGAGUGAGGGGAUUUCGAACAAUGGGUCAGGAAAUGCAUUGUUUUUCUGCAAAACAAAAGCUGAUUGCCAUUGCAUAAGUCACUUUAGCAUCAUAAUAAAUUCAGAAAUAAACCAAAAAACAAGACACCCAAAAAUAAAAAAACCAUUUAAUGAUAUUCCAGCAGAACUUUUUGUUGGGCUAGUUGGUGCAUAUUACUGAAGUACUAUAGCGCCAUACAGACGACACAAGAAGAGGCACGAACAUAAGCGCUCGUCCGUGUGUCGUCUGUUUGGCACUAUAGUACUUCAGCCAAUUAAUGAUGCUCUCUCCACACUGGGAUAAACAAAAACAAACACAUCACAUCUAAUGUGGACAUAUCAGAUGUCUUGUGAAACACUAAAGGAACAAUUCAGUUUCGAGCUAUGGCACUUGCCGCAUAGAUGUGGGGUGGCCUUGCACCAAUAGUGAUAGUUACCACUGCAUUUACAAAUUGAAAGCAUUCGUGCAGACAAGGAUGAUUCUUUAUAUUUUUGGCUACCACUUCAAAUGCAUCCACCAAGUGUUACAAUGCUGCAUGCAGCCAUACUAAGGAUCUCGCAACAACACCUGCAGGUAAAAAGCAGAAGCAGUCAAAGUGCUGGUGUGUUCUGGACACUAUGUUUGAAAACUUUUAGGCAAGAAGAGUGCAAGAAGCAGACAUAACUGCAUUUAAUUCCAUAAUUCCCCAUCUAAAUGGCCUUUUCUUUUUGCUUUGACAAUGCCUACGCCUAGCCACAGCAGCUCCCUCAUACAGACUCCACAAACCAAGAGGCCGUGGAGGCAAAUGCAGGCAGCCAGCACACCUCGAACAGCCACCUUGACUGCGGGUGUGUCACCCUAGUCGCCAAGGAAACAUUUGAGGGAAAGUGACAGGCAAUGUGAACAGCCACUUCUCCAUGUAAACAAUACUCUUUCUCUCGGAUGACUCCUACGCCUCACCACGCCAGCACACUUGUGCACAAAGAUGCCGCAGAGGCACGUGCAGGUCAGAGGCAAGAAGCAGUGGCACUGGUGUCGACAUUUACCCAAUUUCUUUUUCUUGCACUGAGGCAGCCAGCACACCUCGAACAGCCACCUUGACUGCGGCUGUGUCAGUAGAUUCCUGUUGUACAUAUGCUCAUAAUAAACUUCAGUAAACCUGAACUUCAUAAUAAACUUGAAGGCAAAUGGGA
This is a non-coding RNA of Dermacentor albipictus, 3013 nucleotides long. The record is from RefSeq and is a predicted model, not a curated record. NCBI's taxonomy places the organism in Eukaryota, Metazoa, Arthropoda, Arachnida, Ixodida, Ixodidae.